AUGCUCCGCGGCAAGGAGGAGGAGGUUGAGAAGCUCGUCAUGGUGUGGACCCAGGAACUAGAGCAGAAGCACAUGGAGGCGCUCGAUGCCCAAGCCCUGGUCCAUGCCGGCAGAGUGAAGGAGCUGGAGGUGGAGCGGGAUGACCUAAAGAAACAGCUCCUGGAGCUGGUGAAGGGGAAAGACACGCUCAAUGGCGCCUUGGUGGAGGCGCAGGCCGUUGUCCUCGGCAAAGCCGAGUUGCUCUCCAAGGCCAAUGACUCCAUCAACGACCUGAAGCUGAAGUUGGAGGGUAUUGAGGGGACGCUUUCGGAGGUCAAGGCCCGGGAAGAGACCCUGACCAAGGACCUUGAGGAGGAGAGGCAGCUGUGGAGAAUGACGCCGCCAACCACGAGGAUUACGUGA
Molecule: ribosomal RNA, 402 nt
Filed under: Triticum aestivum (bread wheat)
Lineage: Eukaryota; Viridiplantae; Streptophyta; Magnoliopsida; Poales; Poaceae
Description: partial small subunit ribosomal RNA
Source: RNAcentral